AUUGAACGCUGGCGGCAUGCUUUACACAUGCAAGUCGAACGGUAACAGGCCGCAAGGUGCUGACGAGUGGCGAACGGGUGAGUAAUGCAUCGGAACGUGCCCAGUCGUGGGGGAUAACUACUCGAAGGAGUAGCUAAUACCGCAUACGAUCUAUGGAUGAAAGCGGGGGACCGUAAGGCCUCGCGCGAUUGGAGCGGCCGAUGUCAGAUUAGGUAGUUGGUGGGGUAAAGGCUCACCAAGCCAACGAUCUGUAGCUGGUCUGAGAGGACGACCAGCCACACUGGGACUGAGACACGGCCCAGACUCCUACGGGAGGCAGCAGUGGGGAAUUUUGGACAAUGGGCGCAAGCCUGAUCCAGCAAUGCCACGUGCAGGAAGAAGGCCUUCGGGUUGUAAACUGCUUUUGUACGGAACGAAACGGCUCUGGUUAAUACCCGGGGCUAAUGACGGUACCGUAAGAAUAAGCACCGGCUAACUACGUG
RNAcentral lists this ribosomal RNA (482 nucleotides) under uncultured bacterium. RNAcentral describes it as "partial 16S ribosomal RNA". It matches the Rfam family "Bacterial small subunit ribosomal RNA", at positions 30 to 507 of the family's 1533-position model. The record is from RNAcentral.